RNAcentral lists this long non-coding RNA (643 nucleotides) under Urocitellus parryii (Arctic ground squirrel). RNAcentral describes it as "lncRNA (ENSUPAG00010004174.1)". Lineage: Eukaryota; Metazoa; Chordata; Mammalia; Rodentia; Sciuridae. The record is from RNAcentral.
AUGAAUCUGAAAUGGCAAGGGAGGCAGAAAGAAUCAAGAGGGAGAGCACGGACAAUGCACACUGGGAUCCCAAAGACUGCGAAUCUUCUUUCCUUUUGCAUUUUCGUCUAUUUUCACAGACGAGGGAGAAAUAUAUGUUUACAAUAGGAAUUUAAGCAAUUACAAAUAAACAAAAGGAAGAAAAAGAAAACCAGCCUAACUAUAUGGUUUCCAAACGCCUCAUGUGAUGUCCAGAGUUCAGAGUUAUUCACCUCUGAAUACUCACUCAGCAAUGAAGAAAGUUAUGUGGUCAGCAGAAAUAACUAUCUUGACGUAGCAAUUCAGGGAACAUCUAUUUUAAAUCUGUCCCUUGGAAAUUUCACGAAUGAUUUAUCAAAGUCAUAUAUGAUCUAUAACUGUUUCCUUGAGAUAAAUUCUUAGGGGUAGAAUGGCAGGAUCAGAGAGUAUAAAAAGUGUGAGACUUGUAGGAAAGACGGUGGAAUGAGAUGGACAUCAUUACCCUAAGUACAUGUAUGAAGACACAAAUGGCGUGAUUCUACUUUGUGUACAACCAGAGAAAUGAAAAAUUGUGCUCUAUAUGUGUACUAUGAAUUGAAAUGCAUUCUGCUGUCAUGUAUAAUGAAUUAAAAUAAGUAAAUAAAUA